CAGCAGCCCGUCCGUCGUCGGCUCUCGGACUGCUUUCUCUCUCGCCGAGUCAUUGGAAUACAACAAGACUCCCCCACCUGCCGUCAGCAAAUCAUCUGUCUACCUUGUUGCAGGGAGGUUCCCUUCCUCGUGAGGACUAAAUCAACGCCAUAGUUGACCCCGUCUCAGCAAAUGCGGCUAUAUGGUGGUAUCAGCGCGUUCAAUUAGGGUCUUCCCGGAGAAUCAGCAUGCGAGCGAGAUCACAGAGGGGCCGUUGUACAUGCACAGCACAAGGUUGACCAUCUUAUCAAUCGCAGCCCUCGCCUUCGCCUGUGGGCGUGUUAUUCCGCUUUAGGAAAUCCACCGGCGGCCCGGGACCCGUGGACGGAUGAUCCUGCGCGACAGGCUGACUCAGCCCUAUGUGGCUUUUUUGGUCUGCAUUUAUCCAUGGGCAAGUAUGUAAUGUAUGAAGGAGCAUUUGGCCAUUGUUGACCGGGCUUGUUUUAUCUAUUUUUGGGGACAGGAUCUUGGGGCCAGAUUCGGUACAGAGAAGCUCUGGAUGUUAUCAAAAUAGCACGCACGAAUCCGCUCAGUGGGUAUUUUAAUUUUCUCAUGGACAAGCAAGCAAUCAAGCAACUCUCCCUGGGCAGUUAACAGCUGCUAACUGUCUCGGAAUAACUAUAUAUACACAUACAAAAGGUGAUAACCCAUUGACAUGUCGUUGGGAUACUUUCACUUAAAAUGAAGAUAUACCACAUCCAUUAACCACACGCAAGCAUACGUCCCACUUCCCGCUCAUGCUUAGAGACCGGUGUUGGGGAAUCGGAGGACACCCGGCAAUUCUGGAUUUCUGAUCAAUAAUAGAAUUGCACAUCCGUCACGUAGGCAUCCCUCGGUUAUCCUCAAGGUGCUGUCCGCCGUUGCCGUUGUCGCCAACUUGAACGCCCCACACCCUCCAUCGAACAUCUUCAAUAAUAUCCGCCCUAAGCCACAUUCCUUUGAAGGUCUUCCUGCAGCGUUUUUCUGCCGUAGCGAGUUUUGUUCGGUCAUCAUUUGAGUCCAGCCAUGCGAAAAGGAGUCUGAGUUGCCACAGCCGAUCCCUGACCGUAUCAUCCCCAUCGCCUUGACCAGUUGCAGCGUCCACCAAAUGCUGGACCGUCUUUUCAAGCACGAGCCUCGUAUCCACUGCACUUGGACGCAGCCAGGAAACUGGCCAAAUAAUAAUUUCGGAGUGGUCCCUGGCAUAAAUCUCAAUAGGCUGUUGAGAUGGUACUGAGGGUAUCACUAGCGCCUUGUCACCCAUAUCAAGAGGUCGGAAGGUGCGAAGAUUGAAAAUCCACUCCCAGAGGUGGCGUGCGGGGAAUCGGACUUGAAUCGAUGAUUUUCCUUGGGAAUACAAGAUAGGUGCUGCUGCAUUCGGCGUAGUGUUGACUGCCCGAGAGUAACCAGGGGAGGAAGAUGAAGGGAUAUCCUGGACGUCGCUCAAUGCCAUCAGGGAUGAGGAAAAUUCCGAGGUAGAGGAACCAGUAUAAACAGCUCGCCUACGGAGAUAAACAGAUUGGUCACCCAAGCGGAAUUUGUCUCGGAGACCCGGGUUGUCAGCAAAGUCGAGAGUCAGAUCCCAGUGAUCCGGGCUUUGUAUCUUCACAGUAGCGAGAUCAUCUAUAUUAGGGAGUAGGCAUGGUGCUGUUGUAAGCUGACUUUCGCCUGUUUUGAGCGUCAGAGAUACCGGUAUUGUUACCGCACGCCGUGUGUCGAGGUCGCGCGGAACAAGACACCUUGGCUCUGCCGCGAGGACCCACAGAUGGCGAAAGGCUUGGAGAUGGCAUUUGUUGUCAAGAACAGUGGUGGGAAAUACGGGAUAAAAGGAGCAAAGUAGGGCUGCGAUCCCAAGAUUCGAAGUACCCAGCGUAUAUGUUCCACCACCCAAAAACAGCAUACCGAUAGCCAUGUGUGCUGCCAUGUGGCUUCCGUAUGGCGUAUCUGCACUAACGUGGCCAUGAAGUGAUCGAAGACGGCGAAACACUAUGAGGUCUCCAGUUCCAGCCAUGACAGCUGCUGCAGAUAAUGCAAUAAUAUCCUGGCAGUUGCGAACUGCAUUUCGAGUUAGCUUCUCAUCGUAGUUGUGCACAGUGAACCGCGCUAUACGUUUAAACUGGUCAAGAUAGGAAACAAGAAGGUCGCGGGCUUGAUAUGCACCAGAGCCGGCAAAUCGAAGCCCAAUAGCAAAACAGAGGCCGGUAAUGAUGUUGAAAAACGGCAUGUCAUCAGUGCUUAGAUGACGGACUGUCGUAAGGCGAUAUUUACGCUUAUAAAUAGAUGGGAGAUUGUUCUUGAUCCAUCUAUCGCUUGCGAUAAUAGAAUCCCACAUUAUCAAGUGUUUGGCCAAUGUUCGAAGCAGGAAAAUGUCUGGCCGCACAUAGUCAAACUGAGCAACCGUGUCUGGGAUAUCGAUCUUUUCAGCGACAGUCGCAUCGUUUGAUUUCAUGAAUAUUAUCGUCAAUGCAACAGUCGCUCCUGCAGUGGCU
RNAcentral lists this small RNA (2507 nucleotides) under Histoplasma capsulatum. RNAcentral's name for it is "hypothetical RNA". The record is from RNAcentral. Lineage: Eukaryota; Fungi; Ascomycota; Eurotiomycetes; Onygenales; Ajellomycetaceae. RNAcentral also lists the same sequence under 1 other name.